Non-coding RNA from Alligator mississippiensis (American alligator), 111 nucleotides. NCBI's taxonomy places the organism in Eukaryota, Metazoa, Chordata, Crocodylia, Alligatoridae. The record is from Rfam.
GUUAUCAUUUCUUUCAGCACAUAUACUAAAAUUGGAACGAUACAGAGAAGAUUAGCAUGGCCCCUGCGAAAGGAUGACACGCGAAUUCGCUAAACAUCUUGAGAGAUUUGU